UCAGAUUGAACGCUGGCGGCAGGCCUAACACAUGCAAGUCGAGCGCGAACGUUCCUUCGGGAACAAGUAGAGCGGCGGACGGGUGAGUAACGCGUGGGAAAUUGCCCAGUAGUGGGGGACAACAUUCGGAAACGGAUGCUAAUACCGCAUACGCCCUACGGGGGAAAGCAGGGGAUCUUCGGACCUUGCGCUAUUGGAUAUGCCCGCGUCGGAUUAGCUAGUUGGUGAGGUAAUGGCUCACCAAGGCAACGAUCCGUAGCUGGUCUGAGAGGAUGAUCAGCCACACUGGGACUGAGACACGGCCCAGACUCCUACGGGAGGCAGCAGUGGGGAAUAUUGGACAAUGGGCGCAAGCCUGAUCCAGCCAUGCCGCGUGUGUGAAGAAGGCCCUAGGGUUGUAAAGCACUUUCAGUAGGGAGGAAGGCCUUAAAGUUAAUACCUUUGAGGAUUGACGUUACCUACAGAAGAAGCACCGGCUAACUCCGUGCCAGCAGCCGCGGUAAUACGGAGGGUGCGAGCGUUAAUCGGAAUUACUGGGCGUAAAGCGCGCGUAGGCGGUUAGUUAAGCUGGAUGUGAAAGCCCCGGGCUCAACCUGGGAACUGCAUUCAGAACUGGCUGGCUAGAGUACGAGAGAGGGUAGUGGAAUUUCCUGUGUAGCGGUGAAAUGCGUAGAUAUAGGAAGGAACAUCAGUUGGCGAAGGCGACUGCCUGGCUCGAUAC
RNAcentral lists this ribosomal RNA (721 nucleotides) under Microbulbifer sp. RNAcentral describes it as "bacterial SSU rRNA". It matches the Rfam family "Bacterial small subunit ribosomal RNA", at positions 24 to 740 of the family's 1533-position model. Lineage: Bacteria; Pseudomonadati; Pseudomonadota; Gammaproteobacteria; Cellvibrionales; Microbulbiferaceae. The record is from RNAcentral.